Molecule: ribosomal RNA, 497 nt
Filed under: uncultured bacterium
Lineage: Bacteria
Description: partial 16S ribosomal RNA
Rfam family: Bacterial small subunit ribosomal RNA
Source: RNAcentral
GACGAACGCUGGCGGCGUGCCUAAUACAUGCAAGUUGAGCGCUGAAGGUUGGUACUUGUACCGACUGGAUGAGCAGCGAACGGGUGAGUAACGCGUGGGGAAUCUGCCUUUGAGCGGGGGACAACAUUUGGAAACGAAUGCUAAUACCGCAUAAAAACUUUAAACACAAGUUUUAAGUUUGAAAGAUGCAAUUGCAUCACUCAAAGAUGAUCCCGCGUUGUAUUAGCUAGUUGGUGAGGUAAAGGCUCACCAAGGCGAUGAUACAUAGCCGACCUGAGAGGGUGAUCGGCCACAUUGGGACUGAGACACGGCCCAAACUCCUACGGGAGGCAGCAGUAGGGAAUCUUCGGCAAUGGACGAAAGUCUGACCGAGCAACGCCGCGUGAGUGAAGAAGGUUGUCGGAUCGUAAAACUCUGUUGGUAGAGAAGAACGUUGGUGAGAGUGGAAAGCUCAUCAAGUGACGGUAACUACCCAGAAAGGGACGGCUGACUACGUG